This 364-nucleotide unclassified non-coding RNA is filed under the name uncultured fungus. RNAcentral describes it as "sequence contains ITS2". The stretch from base 1 to 52 matches the Rfam family "5.8S ribosomal RNA", at positions 103 to 154 of the family's 154-position model. The record is from RNAcentral. Lineage: Eukaryota; Fungi.
AACGCAUCUUGCGCUCCUUGGUAUUCCGAGGAGCAUGCCUGUUUGAGUGUCAUGAAUAUCUCAACCCACAAGGUCUUUGUGAUCUAUGUUGGGCUUGGACUUGGGAAUUGUAGACAUUUAAUGUCUGCUCUCCUUAAAUGCAUUAGCUGGAUUAACUCGCUCGUGCUAUCCGGUGUGAUAAUAUCUACAUCGCAUGGUUACGUCGAAGUGUUACCCUGUUAACUCAGAGUGUAGCCUUUGAUAGAGUAUCUGCUUCUAAUCGUCUCAGGUAUUUAUCGCGACACCUUCACUGGAAGGCCGAUGAAUGGAGACAACAAUUAUGACAUCUGACCUCAAAUCAGGUAGGACUACCCGCUGAACUUAA